RNAcentral lists this ribosomal RNA (301 nucleotides) under uncultured bacterium. RNAcentral describes it as "partial 16S ribosomal RNA". It matches the Rfam family "Bacterial small subunit ribosomal RNA", at positions 509 to 807 of the family's 1533-position model. The record is from RNAcentral.
CAGCAGCCGCGGUAAUGCGAAGGGGGCUAGCGUUGUUCGGAUUUACUGGGCGUAAAGCGCACGUAGGCGGAUCGAUCAGUCAGGGGUGAAAUCCCAGAGCUCAACUCUGGAACUGCCUUUGAUACUGUCGAUCUGGAGUAUGGAAGAGGUGAGUGGAAUUUCGAGUGUAGAGGUGAAAUUCGUAGAUAUUCGGAGGAACACCAGUGGCGAAGGCGGCUCACUGGUCCAUUACUGACGCUGGGGUGCGAAAGCGUGGGGAGCAAACAGGAUUAGAUACCCGGGUAGUCCCUGUCUCUUAUAC